GACGAACGCUGGCGGCGUGCUUAACACAUGCAAGUCGAACGGAAAGGCCCUGCUUUUGUGGGGUGCUCGAGUGGCGAACGGGUGAGUAACACGUGAGUAACCUGCCCUUGACUUUGGGAUAACUUCAGGAAACUGGGGCUAAUACCGGAUAGGAGCUCCUGCUGCAUGGUGGGGGUUGGAAAGUUUCGUCGGUUGGGGAUGGACUCGCGGCUUAUCAGCUUGUUUGUGGGGUAGUGGCUUACCAAGGCUUUGACGGGUAGCCGGACUGAGAGGGUGACCGGCAAAAAGGGGACUGAGAUAGGGCACAGAAGGCAAAGGGAGGCAGCAGUGGGGAAUAUUGCACAAUGGGCGGAAGCGUGAUGCAGAAAAGCAGCGUGCGGGAUGACGGCAGUCGGGUUGUAAACAGCUUUCGACUGUGACGAAGAGUGAGUGACGGUAAUGGGUAAAGAAGCACCGGCUAACUACGUG
Molecule: ribosomal RNA, 468 nt
Filed under: uncultured bacterium
Lineage: Bacteria
Description: partial 16S ribosomal RNA
Rfam family: Bacterial small subunit ribosomal RNA
Source: RNAcentral